This 376-nucleotide ribosomal RNA is filed under the name uncultured bacterium. RNAcentral describes it as "bacterial SSU rRNA". It matches the Rfam family "Bacterial small subunit ribosomal RNA", at positions 521 to 896 of the family's 1533-position model. The record is from RNAcentral.
UAAGACGAACCGUGCGAACGUUAUUCGGAAUCACUGGGCUUAAAGGGUGCGUAGGCGGGCUGUCAAGUCUGGGGUGAAAUCCCGCGGCUCAACCGUGGAACUGCCUCAGAUACUGAUGGCCUCGAGGGAGGUAGGGGCAUGCGGAACUGUAGGUGGAGCGGUGAAAUGCGUUGAUAUCUACAGGAACUCCGGUGGCGAAAGCGGCGUGCUGGACCUCUUCUGACGCUGAGGCACGAAAGCUAGGGGAGCAAACGGGAUUAGAUACCCCGGUAGUCCUAGCCCUAAACGAUGGGUACUAGAUAGUAGACUAGACAUAGGUUUACUGUCGAAGCUAAAGUGCUAAGUACCCCGCCUGGGGAGUAUGGUCGCAAGGCUG